GUCAGCGGUGAUAGCACGUUGAAUACACUAGUUUUCAAUGGGUCACGAAGGGUAAGCAACGGUCCGCGUGGUUGGUAUCGGGAUGGGUGACCAUAUCGGCAAUCGUGUGCUGCUGGUU
Molecule: ribosomal RNA, 118 nt
Filed under: Diaphorina citri (Asian citrus psyllid)
Lineage: Eukaryota; Metazoa; Arthropoda; Insecta; Hemiptera; Psyllidae
Source: RNAcentral